Molecule: ribosomal RNA, 851 nt
Filed under: marine metagenome
Description: bacterial SSU rRNA
Rfam family: Bacterial small subunit ribosomal RNA
Source: RNAcentral
AGAGUUUGAUUCUGGCUCAGAACGAACGCUGGCAGCGUGGAUUAGGCAUGCAAGUCGAACGGGAAGCGGUUACUUCAAGUUUUCGGACGAGAAGCGACCGUGGAGAGUGGCGAAAGGGUGAGUAACGCGUGGGCAAUCUGCCCUUAAGUUGGGGACAACCAGCCGAAAGGCUGGCUAAUACCGAAUGUGGUCCGGUCUCGCAUGUGACCAGGAUUAAAGACGGGGAUUCUUCGGAACCUGUCGCUUGAGGAGGAGCCCGCGUCCCAUCAGUUAGUUGGUAGGGUAACGGCCUACCAAGGCUUACGGGUAGCUGGUCUGAGAGGAUGGUCAGCCACACUGGGACUGAGACACUGCCCAGACUCCUACGGGAGGCUGCAGUCGAGGAUCAUUCGCAAUGCGCGAAAGCGUGACGAUGCGACGCUGCGUGGAGGAUGACGGCCUUCGGGUUGUAAACUCCUGUCAUUCGGGAAAAAUAGCAGGAGGGGAUAAUAUCUCUUCUGCAUGAUGGUACCGAAAGAGGAAGCCACGGCUAACUCUGUGCCAGCAGCCGCGGUAAUACAGAGGUGGCGAGCGUUGUUCGGAUUUACUGGGCGUAAAGCGUACGUAGGCGGUUUUAUGUGUCGGAUGUGAAAGCCCACGGCUCAACCGUGGAACUGCAUCCGAAACUAUAGGACUAGAGUGCAGGAGGGGAGAGCGGAAUUCUUGGUGUAGCGGUGAAAUGCGUUGAUAUCAAGAAGAACACCGGUGGCGAAGGCGGCUCUCUGGAAUGUUACUGACACUGAGGCACGAAAGCUGGGGGAGCGAACAGGAUUAGAUACCCUGGUAGUCCCAGCCGUAAACGGUGCACACUU